This is a non-coding RNA of Myotis brandtii (Brandt's bat), 76 nucleotides long. The record is from Rfam. Lineage: Eukaryota; Metazoa; Chordata; Mammalia; Chiroptera; Vespertilionidae.
GGCAGUUCUCAGGUGAUGCACCCAGGAAUCGGGCUCCCUCCUCUCUGGUUCCCGGGUGCAUCACCCAAGAACUGCC